GACGAACGCUGGCGGCGUGCUUAACACAUGCAAGUCGAACGGAAAGGCCCCUUUGGGGUACUCGCGUGGCGAACGGGUGAGUAACACGUGAGUAACCUGCCCUUGACUUCGGGAUAACUUCAGGAAACUGGGGCUAAUACCGGAUAGGAAUCCUUGCUGCAUGGUGGGGGUUGGAAAGCUUCGGCGGUUUUGGAUGGACUCGCGGCUUAUCAGCUUGUUGGUGGGGUAGUGGCUUACCAAGGCUUUGACGGGUAGCCGGCCUGAGAGGGCGACCGGCCACAUUGGGACUGAGAUACGGCCCAGACUCCUACGGGAGGCAGCAGUGGGGAAGAUUGCACAAUGGGCGGAAGCCUGAUGCAGCAACGCCGCGUGCGGGAUGACGGCCUUCGGGUUGUAAACCGCUUUCAGCAGGGGCGAAGCUUGUGGUGACGUUACCUGCAGAAGAAGCACCGGCUAACUACGUG
RNAcentral lists this ribosomal RNA (464 nucleotides) under uncultured bacterium. RNAcentral describes it as "partial 16S ribosomal RNA". It matches the Rfam family "Bacterial small subunit ribosomal RNA", at positions 28 to 507 of the family's 1533-position model. The record is from RNAcentral.